Molecule: microRNA, 24 nt
Filed under: Brachypodium distachyon (stiff brome)
Lineage: Eukaryota; Viridiplantae; Streptophyta; Magnoliopsida; Poales; Poaceae
Description: bdi-miR7717b-5p
Source: miRBase by way of RNAcentral
UCUAAGACGACUGAGAAAUAACUA